UUUCUUCUUUUCUUUGGG
Molecule: unclassified non-coding RNA, 18 nt
Filed under: Dictyostelium discoideum
Lineage: Eukaryota; Evosea; Eumycetozoa; Dictyosteliales; Dictyosteliaceae
Source: RNAcentral